CCUACGGGAGGCAGCAGUGAGGAAUAUUGGUCAAUGGACGAGAGUCUGAACCAGCCAAGUAGCGUGAAGGAUGACUGCCCUAUGGGUUGUAAACUUCUUUUAUAUGGGAAUAAAAUGUUCCACGUGUGGGAUUUUGUAUGUACCAUAUGAAUAAGGAUCGGCUAACUCCGUGCCAGCAGCCGCGGUAAUACGGAGGAUCCGAGCGUUAUCCGGAUUUAUUGGGUUUAAAGGGAGCGUAGGUGGAUUGUUAAGUCAGUUGUGAAAGUUUGCGGCUCAACCGUAAAAUUGCAGUUGAAACUGGCAGUCUUGAGUACAGUAGAGGUGGGCGGAAUUCGUGGUGUAGCGGUGAAAUGCUUAGAUAUCACGAAGAACUCCGAUUGCGAAGGCAGUUCACUGGACUGCAACUGACACUGAGGCUCGAAAGUGUGGGUAUCAAACAGGAUUAGAUACACGAGUAGUC
This 460-nucleotide ribosomal RNA is filed under the name uncultured bacterium. RNAcentral describes it as "partial 16S ribosomal RNA". It matches the Rfam family "Bacterial small subunit ribosomal RNA", at positions 338 to 795 of the family's 1533-position model. The record is from RNAcentral.